This is a long non-coding RNA of Nannospalax galili (Upper Galilee mountains blind mole rat), 1969 nucleotides long. RefSeq lists it as uncharacterized. The transcript has 2 exons. The record is from RefSeq and is a predicted model, not a curated record. NCBI's taxonomy places the organism in Eukaryota, Metazoa, Chordata, Mammalia, Rodentia, Spalacidae.
AUUUUCUAUUGUUAUUUCUUUUUAAAUAGGAACAGGGUCUGUUCCAUAAAAAGAACAGUACCAAUCCAGGCUAUCUUAGGAAAAUUUACCUGAAGGAUCCGAUCACAGCACAGAGAGCAUUCAGUGCCAUUGAGAACGCACAGUCAAUGAGACACCAGCAGAAACUAAUGAAGCAGUCUUCACUGAAGCUUCUCAGGCCCCAGGUGCCGUCUUGAUUGCCGUUUACAAGGCUGCUGCCUAGUGGAAAAGCAACCACUUUAAAGAUUCUGCUAGAUUCCCAGCAAUUCUCUAGUCUGACUUUUUGGGCCAACCAGGAUUGUUUUCCUUUCUUCCUUCUUUAGUUCUGUAACUGUAUGUGCUAGCCAUCCCCUUCUACACUGAAUGGCUCAGACCACCAAAGAAAUACCACUCUGGACUUAGAGAAAAUUCUCAUUAAUAUUAAAAUUGUGAAAGGACAAUAGGCUUGUUUUUAAUUAAAGUCUUCACUGAAGAAAGGAGAGUUUAGAAUAAAUAGUGUUCUUUGAAAGAUUUUAGCCAGACACAUAUUGGAUGCUUUGACAUUUUGUUUAAAGGUAAUUUGUUCAAUAAUUCAAAAAUGUGAGAACAUUUUUGGUAAACUAGGUAAUUGAAGAAAAGCCACUAAAGGGAGAGGUGACAUGUUUUCUAUUUCCUUUUCAUGAAAACAUUGUUUGCUAAUAGGUCAAGUUUUACAUUGGUGCUCCUCUCCCACCCCCCUUUCAUUCUAGCAGAAGAAUUAUGGACAAUCUGGAAGCUUCAGAACAGUAUCCUCUGCUAUCUGUAGUGCAACAGUCACAGGAUGUAGAAGCUGUUUAUAGUCUUUUUCAGGAUGAGUUUAUAUGGCACAAUUGUAAUUUACUGAUAAAUGAAAAUAUUGCACUUUAAGCUUUUCAGGACUCAGAAAUAUGCAAAAUAUAAUAUUUUUAUAUUUCCAGAAAUUGUCUUUUAGAAGUUCAAAGACUCGUAUCAUAAAUUGACAUUUAAUCCUAAUGGAUAUCUUUUAAAUACUAGGAAGAGUAAAAAAUCUAGUUGCUUUAUUGUAUGUUUAAAAAGUCUAUAUAAUAACAUUGGAAAUGGUAUCACACGUGUUAUUUGAGGAGCAGGCCUCUGUAAACAACUCAGCACAACAUAUUUUUGUCCUGCCUUGUCUCUCUAAUGCCAGUUAGAGACGUGUUGGCCAUAGACACUGAAGGAUUUAGUUUCGGAUACACCUUUAGAUUUGCUUGGGGUGUUAAGCAUGGUGUUUAUUUCAAAGCAUCAAGUCCUUGAUGAGAUGGAGGUGUGGACGCUCAUGACUGCUCUGCCCUGCUGUGUGGGGUAGUUCCACUUCUUCAUUCAUGCCUUCUAAGACCUCACCAUAAAAACCGCUGAGGCUUUUCUGGUGCUGUUUCAUGUUUUGUCUAAGAAGAGAGUAUAGAAAUCAAUAUCCUGAAUAUUUGAUUUUUGGUAUUUGUUGGCUUUUCAAAUCCUUUAUUUCUGUAAAGAAAAGCAUCAUAUAUAUAAAACUGGUAGCUUUAAGAACAAUUUCUGUGGUACUGAUUAAUUGAAAUUUUGGGAACAUUAUAAACAACCUUAUAGCAAGUAUUUUGUGUCUUUAAAACUGACUUAAUCAGGAAUUUUGAAUAUCCAAUUAUGAUUGCCAUACGAUUCCAAGCUGUUGACAGUGUCUAAAAAUUUAAGAAAUUGUAUUGCACUGGUGGUUUGUUCUGAAAAUGAGUAUAUGGAAUAUUGGACUAAGAAAAAUUCCAGAAAUCUAUAAACUCAUAGUCUCAGUUGACUUACCUCCAAGUAUCUUUAAUGUUUUUAAUUGGUAUACAUAUCUGGGACAAAAGUAACCCAUUGCUAAAAUGUAAUAAGGUCUGUUGUGUUUGUAAAAAUAUUUUCAGAGUCAAUUUCAUAUGAAGUACUGAGAGAAAUUAAAACACUUGGUACUUGUUUGCACAGGCGAAAA